CGCUGGUCUCUGGAAAGGCUGGUCUGAGGGUGAGGGGCUGGGGAAGAGGGGUUGCUUGCUGAGUAACCAUGGCAACUCUGCAGCCUCAGGGCACCCGGGUGCUCACACCCAUUCCCCCUAGAAUACCCAGAAAAGGGCGAUCUCUGCCUUGACUCAGACUGGGAAACUGAGGUUCAUGAACACCUGUCACUUCCUUCUGCCUACUCUGGGUUACAGUCUUGGAAUAAAAACCCACACUUGCAGCAAGAGCCGCAAGUCCUAGUCACCUCGUGUGUCUGCCCCAGCCCAGGCCUGGCAAGGUGGCAGGAAAGGCACCAGACCUGGGGGAAGAGCAUGUUCAAAGGCUCCAAGAACAAGGCUGUGACCCAAGACUGACCCAGAGUGACAAUGACAUGAAAAUCAAGGUGCUGGAGGGCAGAGACUCUGCAGUUAACAGUAUGCAAGGCUCUUACAGAGACUCUGAGUUCAGAGUCCCAGCACUCUUGCUGGGCUGCUCACAACCGCCUGAGACUGGAGCUCUGGCCUUCACAUACCUGCCUCACAGACUGUAAAAAUAAAGUCAACUGAGGGCUAGAGAGAUGGCUCA
RNAcentral lists this long non-coding RNA (586 nucleotides) under Mus spicilegus (steppe mouse). RNAcentral describes it as "lncRNA (ENSMSIG00000011311.1)". Lineage: Eukaryota; Metazoa; Chordata; Mammalia; Rodentia; Muridae. The record is from RNAcentral.